CCUCAACAAUCAAAACUACACCAUCCAGAAAAAGCAUGCAAUUAGGGAUAGUCGAUUGUAUGCCCUUGUUAAGCACAUCCAAGAGACCAAGACUAAAUUAAAUAGGUAAGAACUAAAGGUUGGGCCUUGAUGUAGUCCUAUACUUUCAGGAAAUUCCUAAGUCUUGCUUCUUCUGGAUGAUGUAGUUUUGAUUGUUGAG
Molecule: microRNA precursor, 199 nt
Filed under: Glycine max (soybean)
Lineage: Eukaryota; Viridiplantae; Streptophyta; Magnoliopsida; Fabales; Fabaceae
Description: miR9760 stem-loop (gma-MIR9760)
Source: miRBase by way of RNAcentral